AAUACAUUUACGCUGAAUCCCGCAUUGCGGGUACGGAGGAACCAGUUUUGGGGUUAAUCGGCAUUAAUAUUUAAGCUUGUAUUAAUGCAGUAGGGAACCUUUCAUCCCGAACCCGUCAGCUAACUUCGGAAGCAAAUAGAAAGGGGAAAC
RNAcentral lists this small RNA (150 nucleotides) under Oxobacter pfennigii. Its description in RNAcentral is "c-di-AMP sequence". It matches the Rfam family "c-di-AMP riboswitch aptamer (ydaO/yuaA leader)". Rfam says of the family: This family represents a conserved RNA structure found upstream of the ydaO and yuaA genes in Bacillus subtilis and related genes in other bacteria. The ydaO/yuaA element is thought to act as a genetic "off" switch for the ydaO and yuaA genes in its native state. The record is from Rfam by way of RNAcentral. Lineage: Bacteria; Bacillati; Bacillota; Clostridia; Eubacteriales; Clostridiaceae.